This 406-nucleotide unclassified non-coding RNA is filed under the name soil metagenome. Its description in RNAcentral is "partial contains 5.8S ribosomal RNA, internal transcribed spacer 2, and large subunit ribosomal RNA". The stretch from base 1 to 121 matches the Rfam family "5.8S ribosomal RNA", at positions 35 to 154 of the family's 154-position model. The record is from RNAcentral.
GAUGAAGAACGUAGCGAAAUGCGAUAAGUAAUGUGAAUUGCAGAAUUCAGUGAAUCAUCGAAUCUUUGAACGCACCUUGCGCCCUUUGGCUAUUCCGAAGGGCAUGCCUGUUUGAGUAUCAUGAACACCUCAACUCUCAUGACUUGCCAUGAUGAGCUUGGACUAUGGGGGUCUUGCUGGCCUGUGGUCGGCUCCUCUCAAAUGAAUCAGCUUGCCGGUGUUUGGUGGCGUCACAGGUGUGAUAACUAUCUACGCUUGUGGUGUUUUCCACCAGGUAACCUUCAGCAAUGGAGGUUCGCUGGGGCUCAUAAAAGUCUCUCCUCGGUGAGGACAGCUCUUUUUGAACGUUUGAUCUCAAAUCAGGUAGGACUACCCGCUGAACUUAAGCAUAUCAAUAAGCGGAGGA